This 71-nucleotide non-coding RNA is filed under the name Streptomyces sp. Lineage: Bacteria; Bacillati; Actinomycetota; Actinomycetes; Kitasatosporales; Streptomycetaceae. The record is from RNAcentral.
GGGAAGCCGGUCGAAUUCCGGCGCUGACCCGCAACCGUAGGCCCGGCUCGUCCCGGGUGAGUCGGAAUGCC